UGUGUGUGUGUGGUGGGGGGGGCACUUGUACAGGAAAUAACAAGUGACUAUUUGACUUAAAAGGAUCCUUUGAAUUAGUCGCCCAUAAGUCCUUGAUGAUUGGCACUGACAGUCUUGCUUGACCAAUAUGGUGUACGUUUCACAGUUUUGGAUAUUUUUUGGUGCACUGUUGUCUUCAAAUGCUCAGUACCACAGGAAAACAAGAUGCACAGAGGUCGCCGUAAACGCUUCUCUGAAUUCUGAAGUCUUUCUCCCAUGUCAUUUUAAUAUAAGCCAUCUCAAUGAAACCCAGGAAGUGAUGUGGAGACACUAUUACAGUUUUGUAAGGAUCAUGAUUAAUGGGAGAAUGUUCUUUGACAAUCCUACUGAAGGACGAGUGAAUGUUUAUCCGCUUCUGUCUAAACAUGGAAACUUCUCCAUCCUCAUCCAUGAUCUGCAGCUUUCAGACCUCGGCACCUACGAAUAAACGGAAGAAAACCCUAAUCACAACUCCUGGUCAUUCUUUUUUGCUGGAGUUGGAGUAUUUCUUCUUCUUUUUAUUAUAUUCAGUCGCACUGAAAAAUGCAUGAGAUCAUCCAAAUGCACCUCUACUAAUGAAGAACACCACGAAGUCUUUUUCAGGCAAUAGUUCAGUUGAGAAGGUGCUGGCAGGAGGGGGAAAUGAAAUCACGAUUUCCUAUUUUAGAUAACAAUUCUGUAAGGCUUGUCUCAUACUUUUUUAUAUACUCAAUCAUAUGUCAUCUGUUUUUUUUCAUUUAUUGUAUAAUUAUUUUUAGUUUUUAAAAUAUUUUUAUUUUCAGAUAACUGAAUACUUUUGUAAACCACAUAGCCUAUGGAAAUGUAAGUGCAAAUUGUCAUUGUGGAUUGUCAUUGACCUUUCCUUUUGAAAUUAUUUGUUAUUA
Carassius auratus (goldfish) is the source of this 902-nucleotide long non-coding RNA. RefSeq lists it as uncharacterized. NCBI's taxonomy places the organism in Eukaryota, Metazoa, Chordata, Actinopteri, Cypriniformes, Cyprinidae. The record is from RefSeq and is a predicted model, not a curated record. The transcript is spliced from 5 exons.